This 555-nucleotide ribosomal RNA is filed under the name uncultured archaeon. Its description in RNAcentral is "bacterial SSU rRNA". It matches the Rfam family "Archaeal small subunit ribosomal RNA", at positions 326 to 881 of the family's 1478-position model. The record is from RNAcentral.
CGGGGUGCACCAGGCGCGAAAACUCUACAAUGCAGGCAACUGCGAUAGGGGGACAUCGAGUGGCAUCCACCUUGGGUGCCUGUCCAACCGUCUAAAAAACGGUUGUUAGCAAGGGCCGGGUAAGACCGGUGCCAGCCGCCGCGGUAAUACCGGCGGCUCGAGUGGUGGCCGAUAUUAUUGAGUCUAAAGGGUCCGUAGCCGGCUUUGCAAGUCCCCUGGGAAAUCCAGCGGCUUAACCGUUGGGCUUUCACGGGAUACUACAUUGCUUGGGACUGGGAGAGGUAGGAGGUACUCGGGGGGUAGGGGUGAAAUCCUGUAAUCCUCCGGGGACCACCGGUGGCGAAGGCGUCCUACCAGAACAGGUCCGACGGUGAGGGACGAAAGCUAGGGGCACGAACCGGAUUAGAUACCCGGGUAGUCCCAGCCGUAAACGAUGCCCGCUAGGUGUCACGACGGUCGUGAAUCGUCGUGGUGCCGUAGGGAAGCCGCGAAGCGGGCCACUUGGGAAGUACGGCCGCAAGGCUGAAACUUAAAGGAAUUGGCGGGGGAGCACAA